CAACUUAUAGCUUAACUAAAGCAUCUUGCUUACACCAAGAAAACGCCCGUUAAACUCGGACUAAGUUGA
This 69-nucleotide transfer RNA is filed under the name Notophthalmus viridescens (eastern newt). Its description in RNAcentral is "tRNA-Val". It matches the Rfam family "tRNA". From Rfam's summary of the family: Transfer RNA (tRNA) molecules are approximately 80 nucleotides in length. Their secondary structure includes four short double-helical elements and three loops (D, anti-codon, and T loops). Further hydrogen bonds mediate the characteristic L-shaped molecular structure. tRNAs have two regions of fundamental functional importance: the anti-codon, which is responsible for specific mRNA codon recognition, and the 3' end, to which the tRNAs corresponding amino acid is attached (by aminoacyl-tRNA synthetases). tRNAs cope with the degeneracy of the genetic code in two manners: having more than one tRNA (with a specific anti-codon) for a particular amino acid; and 'wobble' base-pairing, i.e. permitting non-standard base-pairing at the 3rd anti-codon position. The record is from RNAcentral. Lineage: Eukaryota; Metazoa; Chordata; Amphibia; Caudata; Salamandridae.